Zea mays is the source of this 356-nucleotide long non-coding RNA. RefSeq lists it as uncharacterized. The transcript has 4 exons. NCBI's taxonomy places the organism in Eukaryota, Viridiplantae, Streptophyta, Magnoliopsida, Poales, Poaceae. The record is from RefSeq and is a predicted model, not a curated record.
GUUACAUGUAUCCUUCUCGCUCACCCAUUUGCUAUUACAUUUUUUUAUUGUUGAUGCAACUAUUAUUGCUUUAUGUUAAGGGGAUGGCUAUCGUGAGCUCCGUGGUGUUGCUGCAAGGCAUUACGAUAAAAUGAAAGAAUACUAUUAGAAAGCUGCCUUUGCAUAUUCGAAGGAUGACAGGUCAUAUGCUUCUUACCUUGCUGAGGAGGGGAAACAUUAUCGAGAACUGGGUCGCAUAGAAGACGAGAAGGCCAGCAGGAAUAUAUUUGAAGCCAGAAAUAAGCAUAUAACGAACACAGUAACCAUCGACUUGCAUGGCCAACAUGCUAUGAACCUUCUCAAAAUUCACAUGAUGA